RNAcentral lists this long non-coding RNA (3351 nucleotides) under Hordeum vulgare. Its description in RNAcentral is "long non-coding RNA (HVUL_LNC018343)". The record is from RNAcentral. Lineage: Eukaryota; Viridiplantae; Streptophyta; Magnoliopsida; Poales; Poaceae.
CGGAUCCCAACAAACAAACAGCAAAAAGAGUUAGAUCAAAUAGAUCGCUAAGAACAUCAAGGAGAACAUUGUAUUCAAGAUAAAAAAGAGAGAAGAAGCCAUCUAGCUAAUAAUUAUGGACCCAUAGGUCUGUGGUAAACUACUCACACAUCAUCGAAGGGGCAGCAAGGAUGAUGAAGAACCCCAACAGAGUGUCGGAAAAGACCUCUAGAUUGGAUCUCGUGGUUCUGGAACUUGCGGUGGUGAAAACAAGUAUUUCAUCAACUCCACUAGGGUUCCUGGGAUUUUAGAGCAUCUAUAGAGUCGAAGGUAGGUCAAGGCGGUUCCCGUGGGCUCCAUUACCCACCAGGGCACACCAGAGGCCACUGCGUGCCCUGGUGCCUAGUGGGCCCCACUGGCCUCCUCUCAUGGCCUCCAGAAGCUUCUAGGGCCUCUUCUUGCCAGAAAAUAAUCUCCAAAAAGUUUCAGGGCAUUUGGACUUCGUUUGGUAUUGAUAUUCUGCAAAGUAAAAAACAAACAAAAAACAGAAACUGGCACUGGGCACUAAGUUAAUAGGUUAGUCUGAGAAAAUGAUAUAAAGUAGUUAGUAAAUUGUCACGCCCAAGAGGCGACCAUAUCUUCAAUUUGGCACGAAGGCCUCGUCAGGGAUAUAAGCGCAUCUCGUCGUGUCGCAAGAAUGGAUAUCGUUACAAGUACAUGUACUGAAAAGAAGAGAUAUAUAAAUAGAGUUGGCUUACACUGGCCACAAGCUACAUCAGAGUCACAACAGUACAGUACAUAAUCAUCAUGAAGAAGAGCAGGGUCCGACUACGGACGAAAACAAACGAGAAAAGAAGAACGACGUCCAUCCUUGCUAUCCCAGGCUGCCGGCCUCGAACCCAUCCUAGAUCGAAGAAGAAGAAGAAGAAGAAGAAGAAGAAGCAACUCCAAAUGAACAAUCAACGCGCUCGCGUCGAGUGACCUUUACCUAUACCUGCAACUGGUGUUGUAGUAAUCUGUGAGCCACAGGGGACUCAACAAUCUCAUUUCCAAAGGUAUCAAGACUAGCAAAGCUUAAUGGGUGAGGCAAGGUUAAGUGGUGAGGUUGCAGCAGUGGCUAAGCAUAUAUGAGGUGGCUAACUUACGAGUACAAGAAAUAAGAGGGGGAAGAUCUACGCAUAACGGACGUGAACUACUCAUGAUCAAAUGAAUGAUCCUGAACACCUACCUACGUCAGACAUAACCCCACCGUGUCCUCGAUCGGAGAAGGAACUCACGAAAGAGACAGUCACGGUUACGAACACAGUUGGUAUAUUUUAAUUAAAUUAACUUCAAGUUAUCUAGAACCAGUGUUAAACAAAGCUUCCACGUUGCCACAUAACCGCGGGCACGACUUUCCGAAAAGAUUUAACCCUGCAGGGGUGCUCCAACUAGUCCAUCACAAAUUAACACAAGCCGCAUAGAAAUCCUCAAUCACGAAGCUCGCGAUCUCGUCGGAUUCCCUAGUGGAAAACCUCAACUCUGAGAUUACCCAAAGCAUCACCGGAAUCCCGAUGCACAAGAUAUUCCGUCAAAGGUAAAACUAAUCCAGCAAGGCCGCCGACGUGUCGACGAUCCCGAUAGGAGUCGCGUACCUCGUUCUCAGGACACGGCGGAUGGAAAAGCCUACAGGUACCAAACCUCGAGUUGCCUCGUGGUGGCCCCGCAGUUUGUCCAUUUUCGACCAACACUCAUGAGGAGCACCGGCCCAGGGGUUGAUUAAAUUUCCUCGGGUUAAUUACUCCCUAUGCAGUUCAUUAGUUAUUAGGCAAAUGUAGUACCAAAGUUGGGCCUUGCGAGACCAGCUUUAAUCUAAAACGAAUUAUCAAGGGGGUCCCCAUAACAACCCCGAUCGUGUUAGGAGUGCUCAAUUAUGGAACAUAACACCGGUAGCCGAAAACUAAGGGGGCAAAGGUGGAACAAAACACCAGGCUAGAAAGGCCGAGCCUUCCACCUUUUACCAAGUAUAUAGGUGCAUUAAAUUAAAUAGCAUUUAAAUAUGGUGAUAUAAUAAGGAACCCAUGUUAUCACAUGGAAGGAACUACACCUGCAACUAGCAAUGCUAACAACAUGGUUAAGCAAGCGGUAACAUAGCCAAUCAGUGGUUUGCUAGGUCGAACAGGUUGAAGGUAAUCAUGGCUUUGUUGAGAGGCUGAUAUUUAACAUGUGGUAGGCAACGAAACAUAAACGAUAGAAGCGGUAAAACUAGCAUGGCAAUGAUAGUAAUGGUAUCUGGGGAAAUGGUCAUCUUGCCUGAGAUCCCGCUUGGAAGAAAAAUGACUCCGAGAAGUCGGCGAACCCACGUAGUCGAACGGGUCCUCACAUUCCGACACGCUUGCGGAACUCUAUCGAGACGGAACAAACCGGAAACAAACAUCAACACACAUAUUCACCACAAGAUGCACAACAUGAUGCACAACCUAAUAUGAUGCAUGAUCAGUUCAAAGAUGCAAGGAAUGGCAUGGCAGUUCACCUCACACCAACACUACACAUUAAGUGAAGCUCGAUAUGCAACGAGUUGCAUAUCGACGAAACUCCACGUUUAAUUAUUAGUUCACUCCCGUAUAAUAACACGACAAUAUUAAAAUGUUGUUAACAUGGCAAGGGGUGAAGCAUAAAUUAAACUACCUAUCUAGGCAUUUUAAAUGAGGCCGGAAACGACAUAUAGCAUCUCCGAAAUGACCCCACGUGUUAAAUCUUAAUUCUAUCCAGAUUUGUUCUAAUCACAUUUUAGGUUUGUCAAACGGUAAAACAAAGUGGUUCACAUGAUUCUACUCGUCAUUCUGGUCCAUUUACAUAUAUGGCACAUCUCCAACGGAGCUACGGACAAAUAGUUACAACCUAAACCGUUUUCAACACGUCGACACGCAAACCGAUGCAAACAACACAAUAAACAGUUCUAAUUAUGCAUGAGAGUUGGAAAUUAUUACUCUACGCAGAAAUUCUAGUCAAAAACCAUAUAUAACCCACUCCGAUCCGAUGCACGGUUUGGAAACUACGCUCGUUUGAAAAAAAAACAAAGCUUUUCCUGAAAUUAGCAAAGUCCGUGGAAAUUGGAAAAUCACGCCACGUUAAAAAAAACAAUGGACCGAAUUACACCAUGGUGCAGUGGCCCAGGGCUGAAAUCGGCCCAAGAACUGUGUGUGCGUGGAAAAAUAAAAAUAGCAGGCACGAGGUAAAUUGGGGUGCCCAGGACUCGAGCUCGGGACCUCCAAUUUAGUAACCUUGUUACGCUAGCCAACUCAGCUAUCAUUGUAAUCGUGCUCAAGAGUGCUGGCCAAACUGAAUAACUUGGACAGGCCGAAUGGAUCUGGCAAAACAAACAGACUUCAG